CUUUAGAUUGGAAGAUGAAUAUAGUGACGAGAACGAGCACUAGUGAAGAGUCGCCAAGAUGAAUUAAUAUCAAUGAUAUGAGAAUGUAACCUAGGCAUUGCAAAAGGAUGCAGAGGAUAGUGCAAAAUGAUUAACCCUGUGGACCAGAGAUCGGACCGCGACCACCGCGACCACUGCGCCCACCGCGACCCCGAAGAACUCGCCCACGGCCUCUUGUCGGCGUAGAGGAAAGCAUAGCAGCCUGCCUAAUGGAAGCCCUUUCUCUAGCCCUCUCAUUCAAAUUUAUGGUUCUUGAGCUCCUAUUGACAGGUGAAACCUGUUUCCCUUCUUCUGUUUCAGAAGCAGCACUGUCAACCGGACCCCCUUCUUUUGAAUUGCUACUAUGAACUGGACUGCUUGAUGGUUUCUCACCAGUAACAACAGUAUCCACCGCCUGAUCACUUUCUGCAGCAACCUGGUCACCACCAUCAUUCAACUUAUCAGAACUUUCAGCUAGCUCUUCUGUCGCAUCAACUUCAUCAUUCU
Molecule: long non-coding RNA, 525 nt
Organism: Lycium ferocissimum
Lineage: Eukaryota; Viridiplantae; Streptophyta; Magnoliopsida; Solanales; Solanaceae
Exons: 2
Source: RefSeq, a predicted model, not a curated record